This 208-nucleotide ribosomal RNA is filed under the name uncultured bacterium. Its description in RNAcentral is "partial 16S ribosomal RNA". It matches the Rfam family "Bacterial small subunit ribosomal RNA", at positions 568 to 774 of the family's 1533-position model. The record is from RNAcentral.
AGCGCAGGCGGCCAGGUUAGUCUGAAGUGAAAGCCCGGGGCUCAACCUCGGAAUUGCUUUGGAUACUGCCUGGCUUGAGUACGUCAGAGGCGAGUGGAAUUCCAGGUGUAGCGGUGAAAUGCGUAGAUACCUGGAGGAACAUCGGUGGCGAAAGCGGCUCGCUAGGACGAAACUGACGCUGAGGCUCGAAAGCGGUGGGGAGCGAACG